This 408-nucleotide ribosomal RNA is filed under the name uncultured bacterium. RNAcentral's name for it is "partial 16S ribosomal RNA". It matches the Rfam family "Bacterial small subunit ribosomal RNA", at positions 29 to 526 of the family's 1533-position model. The record is from RNAcentral.
AGUGAACGCUGGCGGCGUGCCUAAUACAUGCAAGUCGAACGGAGUGGCGCACGGGUGAGUAAUAUAUAGCUAAUCUGCCCCUUGCUGGAGGACAACAGUUAGAAAUGACUGCUAAUACUCCAUAGCACGGGAUGAGACUAUAUCGUAUCAGCUCGUCGGUGGGGUAACAGCCUACCGAGGCUAUGACGCGUAACUGGUCUGAGAGGAUGAUCAGUCAAAUUGGACCUGAGACACGGUCCAAACGUCUACGGGAGGCAGCAGUAGGGAAUAUUGCGCAAGGGGGGAAACCCUGACGCAGCACUGCCGCGUGGAGGAUGACUCUUUGCGGAGCGGAAACGCCUUUUGUUAGUGAAGCGGUACCUAACGAAUAAGCACCGGCUAACUCCGUGCCAGCAGCCGCGGUAAUAC